Molecule: long non-coding RNA, 2030 nt
Filed under: Triticum aestivum (bread wheat)
Lineage: Eukaryota; Viridiplantae; Streptophyta; Magnoliopsida; Poales; Poaceae
Description: long non-coding RNA (TAES_LNC024230)
Source: RNAcentral
CGGCGUAGCGCUGGAGCUGGCUCUCGCCGCGCUGCUCCUGCUCUUCCUCCCGCCCUACUACGUCUACAGGUUCACCGCCUCCUUCCUCGGCUCCGUCUUCCCCGACAACGUCUCCGGCAAGGUCGUCCUCAUCACCGGCGCCUCCUCCGGCAUAGGCGAGGUAUGCAUACGUUACAUCACAGCAUACGUCUCUCCAGGACAGAUGCUUCACCUUUUCUAUACGGUAGAUUUAUCUAGUUUCUUGUUUGUGUGUGUAGCACCUGGCGUAUGAGUACGCGAAGAGAGGAGCCAACCUGGCGCUCGUGGCGAGAAGGGAGGCGAGCCUCCGGGAGGUCACCGACAACGCGUCGGCGCUCGGCUCACCCAGCGUCCUUGUCUUGCCGGCUGACGUCUCCAAGCCCGACGACUGCCUAAAGUUCAUCGACGACACGGUUGCCUACUUCGGAAGAUGUAAGUCUGAACUGAAUGGCAUCUAUGCCACCGUAGACAAAUAUUGCUACAUGAAUUUUCCUGAAAACAGUAGAUUAACUGAAUCCAUAUAUGACAUAUAUUCAUGUAAGUGCUUAAUGAUCACUGGGAUUUUUGGUGAAUCAUAUCAAGAUUGACGAGUGUGCAUUCGGAUCACCGGAACUUUCUUUUGAUGUGCCUGCUAUUUGCAGUGGACCACUUGGUGAACAACGCGUCGAUUUGGCAGGUCUGCAAGUUCGAAGAGGUGGAGGACGUGAGCUACUUCAGAACACUGAUGGUACGCAACACAGGCCGUUUUCAGUUCUUCACACAAACUUAGGGCGACAAUGAGUGAGAAUCUGACUUCUGCACGUAGGACAUCAACUUCUGGGGUCAUGUGUACCCAACUCGCUAUGCCAUUCCUCACCUGAAGAAAACCCAUGGCCGGAUCGUUGGUGUCACCUCCAACUCCUCCUACAUAUUCAUCGGAAGGAACACCUUCUACAAUGUCUGUGACGAGCCCCUUCCGUGCUUGCUAGCAUAAACCAUUGAAAUGCACGGGUACAAUGUGGAAUUGUUGCUAAUGUGAAAUGUCUGUUAUUUGCAUGGCAGGCGAGCAAAGCAGCGGCGCUAAAUUUUUACAACACGCUCCGGAUGGAGCUUGGCGGGGACGUCCGCAUUACAGAGAUCGUCCCAGGGGUGGUCGAGUCAGAGAUCACAAAGGGGAAGAUGCUCACCAAGGAAGGAGAGAUGAAAGUUGACCAAGACGAAAGAGAUGUAACACGAGUUGCCACAUGAUAUUAUUGUUCGACCACGGUAGCAUCAUAUCAAUUCAUGUUGUUGAUCUAGCUGAUUGUGAUCAUCGCAGGCGAUCCUUGGGCCAACACCGGCAGAGCCUGUCGCCGCUUUCGCAAAGACGGCGGUGAAGGAUGUGUGCCGGGGGGAGAGGUACGUGUUCGAGCCGAGGUGGUACUUGGCGGUGUACCUGUUCAGGGUCUGCUUCCCAGAGAUCCUGGCCUGGAGCUCCCGGCUCCUGACCGUGAAGACACUGGGGCGCCCUGCAACGACCGACACUGUGGGAAGACAGAUCCUCGACAUGCCCGGGGUGCGCUGGUUCACCCAAACGGCCUCGCUGCGGUCGCCGGAGAUUCAGGCCAGGUGAAAGUAGCUGGAUCGGCCCGUUGUGAUGUAGGAAGCCCACUACGAGGUCUGGUAGUAGUAAGAUGAAGCUUUGUCGAACUAAAACGUGCUUGUGUACUAGUAUGUCCAUGGUCCGUAAUAAUUGAGAGUGGAAAAGAACAUUACAGUACUUUUUUUUCUUCGUCUGAAAUCCAGUGGACAACGUAGAAGACAUCACUACUUGGUGCAAUGUGCAUGGAACUUCACUUCUGAGUUACCGAAUUGGGAAUUUGAUGCGGCUUGUCAUGUGUGUGUGUGUUGGUGGGGGGAACACAGACAGUUUACAGGAACCUAGACCUAAUCACUAUUUCAGUUCGACAUACAUUCAUUUGAGCGUCGACUAAUUUCGGACAAAAGGAGUACAAACAUUCUGUACAUUCUUUCGGACAGAGGGAUUCUUGACG